GACGAACGCUGGCGGCGUGCUUAACACAUGAAAGUCGAACGGAAAGGCCCUGCUUUUGUGGGGUGCUCGAGUGGCGAACGGGUGAGUAACACGUGAGUAACCUGCCCUUGACUUUGGGAUAACUUCAGGAAACUGGGGCUAAUACCGGAUAGGAGCUCCUGCUGCAUGGUGGGGGUUGGAAAGUUUCGGCGGUUGGGGAUGGACUCGCGGCUUAUCAGCUUGUUGGUGGGGUAGUGGCUUACCAAGGCUUUGACGGGUAGCCGGCCUGAGAGGGUGACCGGCCACAUUGGGACGGAGAUACGGCCCAGACUCCUACGGGAGGCAGCAGUGGGGAAUAUUGCACAAUGGGCGGAAGCCUGAUGCAGCAACGCCGCGUGCGGGAUGACGGCCUUCGGGUUGUAAACCGCUUUAGCCUGUGACGAAGCGUGAGUGACGGUAAUGGGUAAAGAAGCACCGGCUAACUACGUG
RNAcentral lists this ribosomal RNA (468 nucleotides) under uncultured bacterium. RNAcentral describes it as "partial 16S ribosomal RNA". It matches the Rfam family "Bacterial small subunit ribosomal RNA", at positions 28 to 507 of the family's 1533-position model. The record is from RNAcentral.